GAGCGAAACCACCCCGGUGAAGCCGGGAUGGUCUGCCCAGCGUGGUUGCUGGGUACUGAUGAGCAGCCGAGG
Molecule: non-coding RNA, 72 nt
Filed under: Pseudomonas sp. T
Lineage: Bacteria; Pseudomonadati; Pseudomonadota; Gammaproteobacteria; Pseudomonadales; Pseudomonadaceae
Source: RNAcentral